This 257-nucleotide long non-coding RNA is filed under the name Hordeum vulgare. RNAcentral's name for it is "long non-coding RNA (HVUL_LNC006802)". Lineage: Eukaryota; Viridiplantae; Streptophyta; Magnoliopsida; Poales; Poaceae. The record is from RNAcentral.
GGGAAAACUCCAUAUGAUUUAUCUAUAUUAAUAAAGCUCGCGAUACAUCAAGAUCGUGUCAUCUCAAGAACAUGAGAGAGAGAGAUUGAACACAUAGCUACUAGUACAUACCCUCAACCCCGAGGAGGAUUACUCACACAUUGUCAUGGUGAGAAAGAAAAAUUUGUUGAUGGAGAGGUGCAGCCCCGAAGAGAUGGAGGUGAUGGCGGCCACAACACCGACGACGGGCGGCAGCGGUGGCGACCGGCGGCGGCCCC